This 253-nucleotide ribosomal RNA is filed under the name uncultured bacterium. RNAcentral describes it as "partial 16S ribosomal RNA". It matches the Rfam family "Bacterial small subunit ribosomal RNA", at positions 524 to 776 of the family's 1533-position model. The record is from RNAcentral.
GACAGAGGUGCCAAGCGUUAGGCGGAAUCACUGGGCUUAAAGCGUGUGUAGGCGGAUUUGUAAGUACCUUGUGAAAUCCCACGGCUCAACCGUGGAACUGCUCGGUAUACUGCUUAUCUUGAGCCACUUAGGGGCUACCGGAACAAAUGGUGGAGCGGUGAAAUGCGUAGAUAUCGGGAGGAACACCGGUGGCGAAGGCGGCGACCUGGGUAGAUACUGACGCUGAGGCGCGAAAGCGUGGGGAGCAAACAGG